CCAACAGGGAUUGCCUCAGUAACGGCGAGUGAAGCGGCAAAAGCUCAAAUUUGAAAUCUGGCCCUUUCAGGGUCCGAGUUGUAAUUUGUAGAAGCUGCUUCGGGUGUGGCUCCGGUCUAAGUUCCUUGGAACAGGACGUCAUAGAGGGUGAGAAUCCCGUAUGUGACUGGAUGCCUACGCCCAUGUGAAGCGCUUUCGACGAGUCGAGUUGUUUGGGAAUGCAGCUCAAAAUGGGUGGUAAAUUUCAUCUAAAGCUAAAUAUUGGCCAGAGACCGAUAGCGCACAAGUAGAGUGAUCGAAAGAUGAAAAGCACUUUGGAAAGAGAGUUAAACAGUACGUGAAAUUGUUGAAAGGGAAGCGCUUGCAAUCAGACUUGCGCCUGGGCGAUCAUCUGGGGUUCUCCCCAGUGCACUCGUUCAGGCUCAGGCCAGCAUCGGUUCUCGCGGCGGGAUAAAGGCCCUAGGAAUGUGGCCCCUCUCGGGGGGUGUUAUAGCCUGGGGUGCCAUGCCGCCCGCGGGGACCGAGGACCGCGCUUCGG
RNAcentral lists this ribosomal RNA (538 nucleotides) under Lambertella sp. TNS:F-40031. RNAcentral's name for it is "eukaryotic LSU rRNA". It matches the Rfam family "Eukaryotic large subunit ribosomal RNA", at positions 65 to 605 of the family's 3401-position model. Lineage: Eukaryota; Fungi; Ascomycota; Leotiomycetes; Helotiales; Rutstroemiaceae. The record is from RNAcentral.